AGUGAACGCUGGCGGUAGGCCUAGCACAUGCAAGUCGAACGGCAGCACAGUAAGAGCUUGCUCUUACGGGUGGCGAGUGGCGGACGGGUGAGGAAUACAUCGGAAUCUACUUUUUCGUGGGGGAUAACGUAGGGAAACUUACGCUAAUACCGCAUACGACCUACGGGUGAAAGCAGGGGAUCUUCGGACCUUGCGCGAUUGAAUGAGCCGAUGUCGGAUUAGCUAGUUGGCGGGGUAAAGGCCCACCAAGGCGACGAUCCGUAGCUGGUCUGAGAGGAUGAUCAGCCACACUGGAACUGAGACACGGUCCAGACUCCUACGGGAGGCAGCAGUGGGGAAUAUUGGACAAUGGGCGCAAGCCUGAUCCGGCCAUACCGCGUGGGUGAAGAAGGCCUUCGGGUUGUAAAGCCCUUUUGUUGGGAAAGAAAAGCAGCAGGUUAAUACCCUGCUGUUCUGACGGUACCCAAAGAAUAAGCACCGGCUAACUUCGUG
This 492-nucleotide ribosomal RNA is filed under the name uncultured bacterium. Its description in RNAcentral is "partial 16S ribosomal RNA". It matches the Rfam family "Bacterial small subunit ribosomal RNA", at positions 29 to 507 of the family's 1533-position model. The record is from RNAcentral.